GGUGAUGGAUGGGGAUGCGUCCGAUUAGCUUGUUGGCGGGGUAACGGCCCACCAAGGCAACGAUCGGUAGGGGUUCUGAGGGGAAGGUCCCCCACAUUGGAACUGAGACACGGUCCAAACUCCUACGGGAGGCAGCAGUGAGGAAUAUUGGUCAAUGGACGAGAGUCUGAACCAGCCAAGUAGCGUGCAGGAAGACGGCCCUAUGGGUUGUAAACUGCUUUUAUAAGGGAAUAAAGUGAGUCUCGUGAGACUUUUUGCAUGUACCUUAUGAAUAAGGACCGGCUAAUUCCGUGCCAGCAGCCGCGGUAAUACGGAAGGUCCGGGCGUUAUCCGGAUUUAUUGGGUUUAAAGGGAGCGUAGGCCGGAGAUUAAGCGUGUUGUGAAAUGUAGACGCUCAACGUCUGCACUGCAGCGCGAACUGGUUUCCUUGAGUACGCACAAAGUGGGCGGAAUUCGUGGUGUAGCGGUGAAAUGCUUAGAUAUCACGAAGAACUCCGAUUGCGAAGGCAGCUCACUGGAGCGCAACUGACGCUGAAGCUCGAAAGUGCGGGUAUCGAACAGGAUUAGAUACCCUGGUAGUCCGCACGGUAAACGAUGGAUGCCCGCUGUUGGUCUGAAUAGGUCAGCGGCCAAGCGAAAGCAUUAAGCAUUCCACCUGGGGAGUACGCCGGCAACGGUGCA
Molecule: ribosomal RNA, 681 nt
Filed under: uncultured Bacteroidota bacterium
Lineage: Bacteria; Pseudomonadati; Bacteroidota
Description: bacterial SSU rRNA
Rfam family: Bacterial small subunit ribosomal RNA
Source: RNAcentral